CACAGACAGAUGCCAUUGACGGCCCAGAAGGACACCAAGAAACAGCUGGCAUUACCUGGGGAUGGAGGCACGGACUGUUUGCAGAGGGCCCCGGACAGCAGUUCCAGUUUCCGACCUCCCAAAGCUCCUAUACACCUGCCAGAUAUUAAAUCCUAAGAAAUAGGCCUCGGAGAUGCCUUAAAAUCAGAGGUUCGAGUGGGAUGACGUUUGGAACUUUCCAGGGAGCCAGCUAGAAGUGUGGAAGGCAUGGAAAACUUUCACAGUGAGAAGAACAUGAACUCACAGCCACCGACGCCUGACGGGUCCCUGCAGUGAGAGCUUAGUGCUCAUCCCCAGAGCCACCGACUCAUCCUUGGAAGUGUCCUGGCCCCCGAGCUGAGGUUCAGCUGAGCAAUAAAUCCUUCUCACCCCAGAGCCAGUGCAUCCCUGAUUGCUGGCAGUGAUGACUCUGGACAGGGCUGUCCUGUGUCUCUUCCAGCACACACAGUAGGGCUGGGCUCUCAGCAGUGGCACUCCCCAGUGCCAGUUAAUCCCAGCAGAGAGGAAAAGAGGAGCCCUGUGUCCCUCUGACUUACCCACAGC
This is a long non-coding RNA of Serinus canaria (Common canary), 582 nucleotides long. RefSeq lists it as uncharacterized. The record is from RefSeq and is a predicted model, not a curated record. NCBI's taxonomy places the organism in Eukaryota, Metazoa, Chordata, Aves, Passeriformes, Fringillidae. The transcript has 4 exons.